UACGGAGGGAGCUAGCGUUGUUCGGAUUUACUGGGCGUAAAGCGCACGUAGGCGGAUUGGUCAGUUAGGGGUGAAAUCCUGGAGCUCAACUCCAGAACUGCCUUUAAUACUGCCAGUCUCGAGUCCGGAAGAGGUAAGUGGAACUCCUAGUGUAGAGGUGGAAUUCGUAGAUAUUAGGAAGAACACCAGUGGCGAAGGCGGCUUACUGGUCCGGUACUGACGCUGAGGUGCGAAAGCGUGGGGAGCAAACAGG
RNAcentral lists this ribosomal RNA (253 nucleotides) under uncultured bacterium. RNAcentral's name for it is "partial 16S ribosomal RNA". It matches the Rfam family "Bacterial small subunit ribosomal RNA", at positions 524 to 776 of the family's 1533-position model. The record is from RNAcentral.